Molecule: ribosomal RNA, 327 nt
Filed under: uncultured eukaryote
Lineage: Eukaryota
Description: partial 18S ribosomal RNA
Rfam family: Eukaryotic small subunit ribosomal RNA
Source: RNAcentral
CCCUUAGAUGUUCUGGGCCGCACGCGCGCUACACUGACGAAUGCAACGAGCUUAUAACCUUGGCCGAAAGGUCUGGGUAAUCUCCAAAUUUCGUCGUGAUGGGGAUAGAUUAUUGCAAUUAUGAAUCUUCAACGAGGAAUGCCUAGUAAGCGCAAGUCAUCAGCUUGCGUUGAUUACGUCCCUGCCCUUUGUACACACCGCCCGUCGCUCCUACCGAUUGAAUGGUCCGGUGAAGCGUUCGGACCGUGGCCUUUGGACGGUUCGCCGUCUGUUGGCUGCGGGAAGUUCGUUAAACCUUAUCAUUUAGAGGAAGGAGAAGUCGUAACA